RNAcentral lists this long non-coding RNA (366 nucleotides) under Coturnix japonica (Japanese quail). Its description in RNAcentral is "lncRNA (ENSCJPG00005012811.1)". The record is from RNAcentral. Lineage: Eukaryota; Metazoa; Chordata; Aves; Galliformes; Phasianidae.
GCCUUUCUUGGUUUCAAAGAGAUUCAACUCAAAGCUAAAAAGCUGUACAGUCCGUAGUAAAAUCACUUGCCUGACUGCUGCCUUUGUGAGGAAAGAAGAGAGAGAAGAAAGCAGAAAGAGUAGGCAUGUUCCCUGAAGAUUGUGUUUUGCCAGUUGCAAGUUACUCAAAGGACAGUUUGAAGGACAUUAACUGAUGAGCUGAAGAUCUUGCUGCGCUUCUUAAGGGGGGAAAUCACUGAUGUGCAGCCCUGCCCACAUCCACAGCUCCCCUGUCUGGUUUGGGAAGGGAUCUUGGCAGAGCUUCUGACAUGGGAUAAGCAUCACAGGGCAGAGGACAAGGAACAUGCUGUUCCUUCAAGGAAGAGG